RNAcentral lists this small nuclear RNA (102 nucleotides) under Sorex araneus (European shrew). Lineage: Eukaryota; Metazoa; Chordata; Mammalia; Eulipotyphla; Soricidae. The record is from RNAcentral.
GUGCUCUUUGAUAGCACAUAUACUAAAGUUGAAAUGAUACAGAGAUUAUCAUGGCCCCUGUGCAAGGAUGACAUGCAAAUUUGUGAAGCAUUUCUUAUUUUU